AGCAGCAUCCGUCCGCUCACUGGGGGAGUUGCUGAAUUCAGCAGGGCAGGAUGUUACCCCUCCAACAUCUGAGGGAGAAAUGGCUGCGAAAGCGGAAGCUGAGCCGCCAGACCCAGGGGGCAGGGCACAGGCGGGCCAAGGAGACACAGGCAGUCCUGCUGUCCUGCCGAAAGCGGCAGAGCAACAGAGAGGUCCUAAAACCCAGCCAAAAGCGGCAGAGAGUUCACCCCCCCCCCCUGCCGAACAGCGGGACGUCCGGCAGCAGCGCGGCUUCUGCGGUUUCAUCUCCUGCAAAGCCAAAGCCGGCCGGGGCGGCCCGGAAGCAGCCCCAAAAGAAGGAGAACAGGAGAAACACCAAGAUCUG
Corvus hawaiiensis (hawaiian crow) is the source of this 364-nucleotide long non-coding RNA. RefSeq lists it as uncharacterized. Lineage: Eukaryota; Metazoa; Chordata; Aves; Passeriformes; Corvidae. The record is from RefSeq and is a predicted model, not a curated record. The transcript is spliced from 3 exons.